Molecule: ribosomal RNA, 135 nt
Filed under: Sus scrofa (pig)
Lineage: Eukaryota; Metazoa; Chordata; Mammalia; Artiodactyla; Suidae
Source: RNAcentral
GUCUACAGCCAUACUAUCCUGAACAUAUCCAGUCUCCUCUGAUCUCAGAAGCUAAGCAGGGUGAGGCCUGGCUAGUACUUAAAAGGGAGAACUCCAUUUUAUAAAGAAAAGUUAAUGAUAAAGUUAUUGUAAAUA